AGAACGAACGCUGGCGGCAGGCCUAACACAUGCAAGUCGAGCGGACAUUUUCGGAUGUCAGCGGCGGACGGGUGAGUAACGCGUGGGAACGUGCCCUUUGGUUCGGAAUAGCCCUGGGAAACUGGGAGUAAUACCGGAUAUUCUCUUUGGAGGAAAGAUUUAUCGCCAAGGGAUCGGCCCGCGUUGGAUUAGGUAGUUGGUGGGGUAAUGGCCUACCAAGCCGACGAUCCAUAGCUGGUUUGAGAGGAUGAUCAGCCACACUGGGACUGAGACACGGCCCAGACUCCUACGGGAGGCAGCA
This 301-nucleotide ribosomal RNA is filed under the name uncultured soil bacterium. RNAcentral describes it as "bacterial SSU rRNA". It matches the Rfam family "Bacterial small subunit ribosomal RNA", at positions 26 to 353 of the family's 1533-position model. The record is from RNAcentral.